GUAAAAAGAAAGGAGAUGGGGUUAUACUGAAGGAUCUUAUGAAAACUGCAGGCACUGCCAAGGUCAGGGAGGCCCUUGGAGAUUACCUGAAGGCACUUAAGACGGGUAAAGAAGGCAUCCCUUGUGAAUCAGAGGGGUCCCUUUUCUAUUUACCCAAGUUAUACUCUACACUGUGGUCAGAGGCUCCAGAAGCAAGUUUAUACUUCAGAAUAAAUUGUAGUCUGGAAGUUGAGAGCUAGUCAUCGUUAAGACCAUAAUUAGUGAUAAUUAGUAUUGUACACAGCAUGAACCAUUUUGCCUACAGAACUGUUAAUUGUAGUUUUCUGGAAUGAAAAUCAGUUGUUCGUGUAAUUACUUGUUUAAUGUCUGACUUCCUUGCUAGACUAUAAGCUCCAUGAGGGCAUGGAAGGUGUCUGUCUUGUUCACUGCUGUAUCUCCAGCAUCUAGCACAAUGCCUGGCACAUAAAUUUACAACGGGAAUGAUUUUACCAACGAAAGCUAUGGCAACCCAGGAAUUGACUGUCAAAAGAAAACUGAGUGGGAAUACCCUGCAGGUUCAGGCCUCAUCUCCAGUGGCACUGGGUGUAAGGAUUCCCACUGUGGCUCUUCACAUGAUGGAACUGUUUGACACAACUGUAGAGCAGCUGUAUAGCAUCUUCACUGUAAAGGAGGUAAGUAACUCCCUAAGCUAGCAUGUUAAGUGCUGACAUUGGGAGAAAAUACAUUACAAAGAACAGGAGCUGGUUUUUGGUUUUCCUUGUGGCUGUGUUUUUGAUUGAAGGGAUGUGGGAUGGUGGUGACAGAAGUCUGAGCAUAGUUUCUGAAUAAUUGGAGGGGAGAUGGGCAUUCUUUGGGACUAUGUCCGCAUUACAUUGAGUUUUCUCCCUCUAGGAAGAGAGAGUUUGUGUUUUAUUUUCUGUAAGUAAAAGCUACAUGUUUAGGAUUUUUAAACCAUAUUAAUUGUUAUAUUUUGUAUUUCAUAAUUAUAUUAUGUGUUAGUGUGUACUGGAAUAACAUGUUUUAUUUGGUUAGUUGGUGCAAAAGUUUUCUAAAUCUACUGCUGUAUUAGAAACUGAAAAGGGAGGGAAAUUCCAGAUGUUUGAUGGGAACAUCACUGGUGAAUAUCUAGGAUUGGUAAGUAGACUCAAGGUUGAAGAAGUAAGGUGGGAUUAACUCUUAAUAUUACUUUUUGUAUAUGCUGUUUUUAGCACCGAAAUCACGAGGGUCUGUGUUGCCUCAACCUUAACAGCAGCCCUCUGUUCUGGUUACUAUUACUGUACUUAAAACAUUAUUAUAUAUUCCUGCUGUCCUUGAUGUUACUGCUGUUCUGAGACAUUUUGGCAAUAAAGACAAUUAUCAGUGGUGCUGAUGUAUAAACUGGAAGAAGGACCGUAUGUUGUUCAUUGAUUCUUCUAGGAGUUUCAAUGAAAGGAUUUUUCUGUGUUGUAUUGUGGGAAGUCUUAAAAGAUUUUCAGUGGAAUUUCCCCUCUCUUUUCAGUUAACAAAUAAGAAGAUCAUCAUGAAAUGGAGAUGUGGGAACUGGCCAGAAGAACACUAUGCCAUGGUUGCACUGAAUUUUGUGCCUACUCUAGGGCAAACAGAAUUACAAUUGAAGGAGUUCCUAUCUAUCUGUAAAGAAGAGAACAUGAAAUUCUGUUGGCAGAAGCAGCAUUUUGAAGAAAUAAAAGGUUCACUGCAGCUGACCCCCCUAAAUGGUUGAAUUAAAAUUUAUUAUAAGGCA
Long non-coding RNA from Homo sapiens (human), 1741 nucleotides. Ensembl annotates it as activator of HSP90 ATPase homolog 2, pseudogene. Its record names the gene AHSA2P. The record is from Ensembl. Lineage: Eukaryota; Metazoa; Chordata; Mammalia; Primates; Hominidae.